This 3614-nucleotide long non-coding RNA is filed under the name Mus musculus (house mouse). RNAcentral's name for it is "long non-coding RNA chr3:65074349-65077963". The record is from RNAcentral. Lineage: Eukaryota; Metazoa; Chordata; Mammalia; Rodentia; Muridae.
ACUUACUAGGUUCAUGAUGUUACAUUUGGUCUUUGUCAGGCUCCUUAUUCACAUGGAAUCAUGAGAUAUGGGUUAUUUCAAUCAACAUCAGUCAAAAAUAGGCUUAUAGCAUUAAAAUGACCUUAACUUUCUCUUCUUAAAGGGAAACGUUGUGUUUUCUGAUUUUUAUAAGAAUGAAGGACUAAUGAGCCAGUAAGAUGCACACAUAAAGAAACAUGAAGUGAACCUGAAUUCUUUAAAGCUGUCCCCAGCAGUUGGCCUCUCAGUUGGUUAAAUUGUCUUGAUGAGUGUUUUGCACUUAACUUACUGCAGUCAUAGGACAUUUUUUUUUGUUUAUGUACACUAAAGUCAGAAGCAAGAGAGGAGGCUUAUGAGACAACCAAAAGGCAGCACCUAAUUAGAAGUGAGCAUAGACUGUGAUCAAAACCUGGCAUUUUAUGUUCUUAUUUAUAAGCAUCAUGCUCUAUUGUAGGUUGUUUAGGUGAGCAAAAGGAACGCUAUCUAAAAAUGCUCUCUUUUCUUGCAGCAGGUUCUUCUGCAAGGUUAUUCUUGUAAGGUAAUUGUGUUUCAUUUGCUGUAUUUGAUCAGGAAGACACAAGGGAGGCGAUGACAGGGAGACAUUCACAAAUAAGCAUUGACAGGAGAAUUGUUUUUCUUUUUAUCUCUGCAGUGUUUUGUUUGAGCACAUUUGCAGAGCUGAUUUAAGGCAGGAGAGCUUCCCUGGGACAAAUUCAAAAGGGAAUGAGCUUCUGCAGUUGUCUAUUGAUGCCGGAUAAACUGGUCCAAAACACGGGGUUUAAGACAACAACCAGUUGUGAUUGCUCACGACUGUGUUUCUGAUUGGAAGAAACGUUUCUGCUCAUGCCCAGGUCAGGUUGGUCUUGGCUGCAUUAGGUUGUUCUGUAGCUGUAAUCAGCUGGCAGUGCCUGGGAGACUGACUGGCUGUGCUCUCUGUGAUUACCCAUGAUCCAAAAACCUAUCCUGGACUUGUUCACAUGGUAGUUUCAUGGGCUGCAUAAACAAUGGAAGUAUAGAAAGCCCUGUGAUGGAUGUCUAAGCAAAGAUGGAGCAACCAGGUCUUCAAAUGGCAUUCUGUUGGCUAAAGUUAGUCAGCAAUUCAUGGCUGCUCAUGACAAAAAAGUAGAACACUGUUACAAAUCAACACAACCUGUAUGUUCAUAUGUAUUUCUCUGUGGUGGAUGAUGCUUUUGUUUUUGGUGCUGGGCACACUUGAUCAACCUUCUGUUCCUAUUUUAAUAACCAUAUUCUCUGAAAACCUUCUCUGGUUCUUUGCCCCAGCAUACUCGAACAUAAGACUUUGUGUGACAAGUAACUGAUACCAAAGCCAUUGUCUAUUCAUGGUUUCCAAAUCCUUGAGGACAGUGAGGUUUUCAACCAAAUUUGUCUGAAGUUCCUAACAGAGUACUGUGUCUCAGAAAUAUUCUCUGGAUAAAAAAGGUGAUAGCAAUUUUUCUUGUAGUUUCAUCUUCCUCCUUCACAUUGCCUUUGUACCGCCAUCUUGGGGAGACUCCAUUCCUCAACAUUAGUUUCUCUGUUGAGCACUUUUUAAAAGGAGUCACACUCGAUUUGUCAGAUUGUCACCAAUGGAACAGUAACAAUCUUUCUGUGUUCAAGCUUUGAGUACUUGUAAAACUUGACAACUGCAUUGUGGUAUUUAUGCUUUAAUUUUUCUGUGAGGAUGGCUUCUUUUUAUUCUGUGUAAAUUUUUUGGUGCAGUUUUCAAGCCAUAUUCUUAACAUUUACCUGCACAAUUGCUUAUGGGUAGUUGCUUAGAACACCCUGCCAGUUCUUUAGGAUUUGGCUCCUAGAAGUAAGUACCUUUUGUUAUCUGGCAAUCUGGCACCUUGGGAGGUUGUUGCUUAAUUCUGGGAGCCCAUAAUAGAACCACCUUUUAUAGAAAAGGCUUCUGUUUUUUAGAAAUUCUCUCUUAUUUCAUGUUAUUAUUCAAGGUGUCUAAGUAUGCAGCAUAGUUCAAGAUCUCUGUGAGGAAUAUCAGAGAGAAUACUUAACUACACAGACUCAUGUUUCAUAAAUAUCCCAAUGGAUAUUCAUGGAGACAGAAUACCAUUCUCAGACACACUAUCCUUUACAGUUUUAGGACAUUUAUAUAAGUAAAACAGUUUACCCAAUAGGUUGUUUCAUUUUUACCUGGUUACAACUGGUGAAGUCCCAUAUGAAAGAAUUCUCACUCAACAGAAAUUCCUCAUCUCUGAAAACACAUCAUUUACAUCUCAAGUUGUCAAAUGAAGAGGACAGGCCCUCAGACAGGAUUAGGAGCCCUUGUUAUCUGUGACCUCUUUGUUUCAGAAUCAUCUUGUUAAAUGUGAACUAUUUGGGAGCCUUCUAGAUCCUCAAGAAUUCUUGGAGACACUGAAUAGAAACCUGAUUUAUGUCAGCAAGUACAAUGAAGCCUCAGAAUCAAAAUACACAUAAUAUUAAUAAGAGCAAUAAAUACCAUAUAGAAAAAAAAGAAAGUACCAUGAGAAAUAAAGGGACAAUUAUCAUUUGAAUGGAUUAGUUAAUGCAGAGACUUAUAGAAGGAGUGUAAGAAUAAAUGUAGAGUGCCUGAACAGGAGUGAACUUUACAACUUCACAGGAGAGAAAAGCCAUGUUAAAGACCAUCCAGUUGUCUAUCAUACUUUAAACAACCUAUAUAUUUUAUAAUGUUGCAAAAGACUGUUGAUGAUGGCCAUUCCCUGUCCACUCACAAAUUUUUAGGACUCACCAACCAUUACCUGAGAAUUACAUGGAGAGAGGAACAGAGUCUUUGGGAGAAUAUGCUUUACUGUGCUCUUGAUAAGAUGAGUUGAAAACCAACCACAAAUUUGACAAGGUAAAGGAUACUGAUUACCUUGACAAAAGCUGUGUAUGCAAAGUGCUUAGCAACCUUCAUAGAACUCUUAUUAUCUAGGAGUGAAUGGUGUGUUGUCUACAAGGCCAUUGGAUCUGGGAGAUCUUUUGUCUAAAACUAGAAGUGCUAUAGCACAUUUGUGUGCUGUUAGAACUGACCAUGCUCUGAGGGAGAAAGUGACAUAGUUGACAAUAAGCAAACAGAAAAACAUUGAGAAUGAAGAAUGGAUGGAGUCCAGGGUAUGGGCAAAUGGCUGCUCUAGAUUGCAGCAGGGACCUUUUAAACAAGGGGUGGAUACGAGCUAAGUUCAAGGAAUAUGUGAACGUUGGAAUCAGUCAGAAUCCAUUUCAUCUCCAAGCCUAAUUUUACAGUUUUUCCUGAGACCAGUUUGUGUUCAAGAAAAUGCAUUCUUUUAUUUCUCCUCUUCCUUUCCUCCUCCCUCUCCCAUUAUUCACCAUAUGGUUCUUUGUUCCAGAACCCCUUGUUCCUGCAAAUAUUUCUUAUUCAGUCAACAUGCUUUUUAUGCACCCACUCUGCAAAAUGUGAUAUCCCCAUAUGUGUGGUAUAACAUCUGGAUGUGGGGUUAUUGCCAUAAGUGAAAAGCAAUUUUGCUAUUUAUCCCGAAUGAGUAGAUAUCUGUUUCACAGGAGAGCUGACAACUUGGACUCUCUGACUAUAGCCAUGGCUUUGGAUCUUAAAGGAUCAGACAUGAGUGGGUAAGCUCGGGAGAUGAUGUGGGAAG